Molecule: long non-coding RNA, 320 nt
Organism: Octodon degus (degu)
Lineage: Eukaryota; Metazoa; Chordata; Mammalia; Rodentia; Octodontidae
Exons: 3
Source: RefSeq, a predicted model, not a curated record
CUGUUGGUGUGGGGAGACGCGGGCCACAAGUAGCAAAGAGCCGGACGCCUGGGCUGCUAGUCCCGAAAACUAGCCGGCAGGACAGAUAGUAUGUAUUUCCCAAGCUUUGGACUAUGUUUGGGUCUUUUAUUCAUCUCAAGCAAUGCAAAACUUAUGAAUGAUGGUGUUGAGGUAGAAGACUCUGCUAAAAGUUCAGAUGAGAUUGAUGUUGAAACAGAGAGUUCUUCAGAGAUUCAGUAUAAGACACCUAAACCCAGAGGAGAAGUAUAUUUUGCAGAGACCUUUGAUAGUGGGAAGUUGGCUGGGUGAGUAUACAUUGA